Molecule: long non-coding RNA, 3659 nt
Organism: Brassica napus (rape)
Lineage: Eukaryota; Viridiplantae; Streptophyta; Magnoliopsida; Brassicales; Brassicaceae
Exons: 2
Source: RefSeq, a predicted model, not a curated record
UGGUGGUAUAAUCGAUGUAUGUUAACAACGUAAUCAAUUAAAGCUUCAACCAUGGCGUUUACGUUUUCUCGCAUCUUUGUGCUCUGUUCUUGCUUCAAAACCACAGGCCGCCCUCAACGAAGCUCGAUCUCCAGGCUGCCGUGUUCAUCUUCCUCGUGGUGUCACAUGACGAUUGAAUCCGGUUCGUCACAUUCUCACUUUGCCUCAAUCAUCUUUGUUGUAUCUCAGCUCUUUUUUUUCGUUGUGCUGUAACCUUCGUUCCUCUUUAUUGCGUCCUCCAACUGGCACAAAAAGCUUAAGAGCAACAAUGGCUAACUUGGGUGUUUUUGUACGUCCAACGCUUCAACUUUUGUCCUAUUUCAGUUUUGACCCCAAUAUUAUUUAAACGUGCAAAUUUCUCCUUAAUUUCACUACCAAAAUUCUAAAUCUGCAUUUUCCUCCUAUGAUAUGCAAAUAAAUACACAAAUAUAAUAUAUUCACCUAAAAUGUAAUUUAAAAUGACUAAAAUGAACAAAAACAAGAUAUUCAAAAUUACUAAAAUCAUAAAAUAUUGUAAGUCUUGAAUUACUUACUUUUCACAGGAAUCCCAAAUGAAUCGCUCAUGUUUAUGCUAAACGAUUUCAGUUUCUAUUAGACAAUAUGACCGUUCUAAUAUUCAAACCACUAAGUAUGUUAAAACCUAGUUAGUGUACAAAUGAACAAUGUACAUGUAACUUCUUAUAAAACAGUGUACAUGUGAACAAUGAAUAUAUGUGUACACGUUGAUGAUUCUGACAUACUUAUUUUUUGUAGGUUUUCCAUCUAAAGCAUUAAGCUUCUACGACUUUUAAAAUUCACGAUAAUAUUAACAAAAUAUAGAUAGUGUUAGCACAAUGUAUACAUUGUUUGCACGAUGUACAUUUGGAUUCUUUUCGUCGUCCCAUGUACACAUGUACACUAAAAUUAUGUACACAUCAACUUAGUCACCCAAUGUACUUGUGUACACAUCAACUUAACUACCCAAUGUACUAGUGUACACGACCAUGAUAUAGACAAUCUAAUGUUAUAUAACAUUUAGUUAUUUAUUAGUAAAAUGCCAACGAAUUCAACUAGUUAAAUAACUAUACUGCUAUCACCAUGUUUUAUAUGUUCACAAAGAAAAUCACAUUUUCAAUACAAAAAUUUUAACUUAGAAAUAAAGAGUCAUUUCUACUUGUUCACAUUACAUACUAAAAACAUUCAAUAACAUCUCAAAAUGUCAUACACAUUACACUGCAACAAAAUAAAUAUAGACACCAAUUUUUUUGUCCUCAAACCUCUAGUAAAUGUCCAAGCUCGGUUCCAAUUAAAGGCACACCCUAUUUAUUCUGCUCAUGUAAGUGUAAAUUAACUUCAAAAUGUACAUGUGUAUAUUUACAUAUGUUCUUUAGCGACAAGACCUAACGUGUACAAUAUACAUAUUAUAUUUUAUCUAAUAUUUACACAUACACAUAUGUUUGAGAUACAUUUUAGAUGUCUAACAUAUUGUAAAGUUGUGUCAAUUCGUUAGUGUAUAUGUGUACAUUAAAGAUUGGUGACGUACAUGUGUACAACAAAUAUGGUAGUGUACCCUAAAUUAAGAGGUUAUUUCUGCAAUUUGGAAAGUUAAAACCCAAAUAGAAACUUCCAGAAGUUCAAGGACUCGUUCGUGUAAUCAUGGAAGGUUUGGUCGGUACAAUUAAAGAGUGAGGAGUCAAUUUGAAAGGGAUACAUUUGCAAAUCAGAAACUUUUGGGGCAAAAGUGAAUAUACUCAAAAAUCAAGGGACCAAAUGUGAAAUAAAACCAAAAGUGGCCAUUGUUGCUCAUCGACUUUCGCGAUGAACGAGAGAUGCGCCGGAGAAGCUCGAACCGGAACGAGUAUUCUUGCAGCUCCGAGAAGGUGAUCUGAUGGUGAUGAUAAAAGAAGAUCCACUGUAUCCGAUGUAUCUCCGCUUCAUCACAUAUCUGGGAAGCGAAAAGAGAGAAAUCAGAUAAGUUUGCAUUGAUUUUUUAGAUCUGUAGAUCUACAAUAAAAAAAAGUUUGUUAGUGAUAAAGAAAAUAAAAGAGAAGAUGAAAUUAUGAUAUGAUAAAAAGGAAUGAUUUGCAGAAAGGACUCUCAUUUACAAAGUAAAAAAAAAAAAAGCCAAAUAAAUUUUUUAAAAAGAAAAAGAAAAACGAGAUGAUAAUCAGAUAGAGAGAGGAGAUAGAUAAUGCAAGUUGCCAAGUGUGAGACCAUUUUAGUCACAUGAUUUAACUUAGUUAACAAUUUUUUGGUUUUAGUUACAAAAAACUACUUCAGUAGCUGAAACUGCCUUAUGUUGUAAUAAAAACAUAGAAACUGGCUCAUAGGUUAAUAACUCUAGUUAUUUAGGGACUGAUUGCUGUGUUUUUUAUUUUCUUUUCUUUUAAUCUUUAAAUACUUAGUAAUAUCUUUCCGUUGGACCUCUUCUUAUGUUUUUAAUUAUUAUUAUUAUUUUUUUUAAUGCAAAAUAGUAUAUUGUCAGGUUUGUAUUUGUUAUUUUCAAAAUCACGGCCUAUUUAAUUAUACACAAGACUAUAAUCAUAGCUACUUUUUUUUUUUGGGUGCAAAUCAUAGCUACUUUAUAACAGAGUUUAUUGGAAUUAUUCACGGAACCUAAAACCGGUUAACUUUUUUCUAUCACAAAAUGAUACAUAUUUCGUUGAAUAUUAAUCAUAAGAGCAUAACUAAUUAGCAAUAAGAUAAAUAAAUUUAAAAUAGUGCUAUCUCUUAACAUUACCACUAUUAUAGCCCCGAAAAUGGGCAUAACAUUUUAUGGGAAAUGCAUAUAGAAGGAAGGAGUGGCCUGGCUCAGGAUAAGGGCUAACAAUACAUUUUUCUUUCAAUUCUUAUCUUCUACUCCUUUUUAAUAAUUAAUCUAAGAUUUGAUUUGUUAUGUCAAAGAAAAAAAGAUUUGAUUAGUUAUUUUUCUCUGUAUUCUUUUCCUUAUGUAAAAACAAGCAAACAAAGUACACACAGGGAAACAGAAACUCAAAUAUAAAUAUCCGAUCGGUUUGGUUGGUCCUUGUCGUCUUCUUCUCCGAUCGGCAAGAACAGUGAUGACGAAGGAGGAGAAAAUGAAGCUGAAUCUCCUUACAAGGGUCCUCUUGAUAUGAUGAAAUCUCUCGAAGAAGUUUUACCCAUCAGGAGAGGUAUAUCCAAGUUCUACAAAGGGAAGUCCAAGUCAUUCAUGAGCUUAAACAAUACUGAAUCCUUGUCGAUGAAAGAUUUAGGGAGGCCUGAUAACCUUUACAGUCGCCGCCGGAGAAAUCUUCUCAAUCACCGGCUUUGUAGUCGCGGUGGGAUCUCGAAGAAACCACUCAAGGCCAACUUCACGGUGGUAUCUUCCUGCGGCGAUGAUUCCUCUUCAGCCUCUAAUUUAAAACAUCAGCAUUGAGUGAGAAAUGUUUUUUUUUAAGAAUUAGAAUUUUAAAUAAAAAUGACUGGAUUAAUAAGAAGAUGACACAUACUGAGAGACUAUCUCAGUUUUUUUCUUAAGUCUCUUCCCAAAUAAACGGUUUUAAAGAUUUGUAACUCUCUUUUCUUAAUUUUUUGAUUAUUUUAAUUCUAAAAACCCACUGCCUAUGAGUCCUGCCCUUUAUACUUUGCGUAAUCAACUUAAUGAAAAAGUUGAAACUGUC